Bos taurus (domestic cattle) is the source of this 57-nucleotide non-coding RNA. The record is from Rfam. NCBI's taxonomy places the organism in Eukaryota, Metazoa, Chordata, Mammalia, Artiodactyla, Bovidae.
UAGCUCAGUUGGUAAAGAAUCUGCCUGCAAUGCAGGAGACCCGGGUUUGAUUCCUGG